RNAcentral lists this ribosomal RNA (440 nucleotides) under uncultured Clostridium sp. Its description in RNAcentral is "bacterial SSU rRNA". It matches the Rfam family "Bacterial small subunit ribosomal RNA", at positions 338 to 795 of the family's 1533-position model. The record is from RNAcentral. Lineage: Bacteria; Bacillati; Bacillota; Clostridia; Eubacteriales; Clostridiaceae.
CCUACGGGGGGCUGCAGUGGGGAAUAUUGCACAAUGGGGGAAACCCUGAUGCAGCAACGCCGCGUGAGUGAUGAAGGUCUUCGGAUUGUAAAGCUCUGUCUUUUGGGACGAUAAUGACGGUACCAAAGGAGGAAGCCACGGCUAACUACGUGCCAGCAGCCGCGGUAAUACGUAGGUGGCAAGCGUUGUCCGGAUUUACUGGGCGUAAAGGGUGUGUAGGCGGAUGUUUAAGUGAGAUGUGAAAUACCCGGGCUUAACUUGGGUGCUGCAUUUCAAACUGGAUAUCUAGAGUGCAGGAGAGGAGAAUGGAAUUCCUAGUGUAGCGGUGAAAUGCGUAGAGAUUAGGAAGAACACCAGUGGCGAAGGCGAUUCUCUGGACUGUAACUGACGCUGAGGCACGAAAGCGUGGGUAGCAAACAGGAUUAGAUACCCCGGUAGUC